CCUGGUGGCCAUAGCGUCGGUGUCCCACCCGAUCCCAUCCCGAACUCGGCCGUGAAACCCGAC
This 63-nucleotide ribosomal RNA is filed under the name Corchorus olitorius. The record is from RNAcentral. Lineage: Eukaryota; Viridiplantae; Streptophyta; Magnoliopsida; Malvales; Malvaceae.